This is a long non-coding RNA of Podarcis muralis (Common wall lizard), 2454 nucleotides long. RefSeq lists it as uncharacterized. The record is from RefSeq and is a predicted model, not a curated record. NCBI's taxonomy places the organism in Eukaryota, Metazoa, Chordata, Lepidosauria, Squamata, Lacertidae.
AUCUGUAACCCGAGGUAUGACUGUAUUUAGUUCCUGUCACCUGCGGCAGCAUCACCCAUAGAACACAUUGCGGAACCUGGAGCUAUAUGAUAAGGACAAAAUGUCAUUUAUUUCGUACCUUCAUUUCCUAAUCCAUCUUAAAGGGAUUCCAUAUUCAAGCACAAUAAUAUAUCAUGCCGUCAUGCUGCCUGACUUUUUCACUGCACCAGAUUAAAAUGUGAAAUUCUGUGAAGUUCAGUGCAACCAUCCAGAUCCUGAAGUGUCUUUAAUCUCCCUUUGUUUUCUUUUUUCAGCAAGCAGUCUAAACCGUCAUUCCUGUUAGUUAUUAACUUAGGAAGUGAUCUCAUCCACAUGCAACUAAAAUAGUAUUUAAAUAACAUGAAACAUCAUGAAGCAUCAAAAGAAGAAGAUGGAUCAUACACAGAAUCAGCUGAAAGCCAGAUUGAAAAGCACUGUUGACAUGGGCUCAGAGGGUCAUUGGAUAUAGCCAGGGAUUUUUUUCAGCCAGAACUUGUUUAUGAUGGUUGAAAGCUGCUCUGGGUCCUCAUGGUGAAAGGCAGGAUUGACCUUCUCUCAGCACAUUGCCCUGCCACCACAACGAUCUCUCCAGCUUAGAUCAGUAAGAGAAACCCAGAUCUUGUUUCCAGUGGGAAUUGGAUGUCAAGGUAAAGAGUCAGACUUUAAAGUGUUCUAGCAGAAGCUGCAAGCCACACACACACACAAGAGAAAGAAGCCUGCCUGCAAGGUCACUCAAGGAGCAGCUGAGCGAACGGUUCUUUUGUGAGGCUGUGUUGUCCAUAUGAAUGAACUUUGAGCCAUCCUGACAGUAUUUGCAGGAGCUAUUGGGCAUCUUUACAAGCAUGGCUCCUAAGCUUCCAUGAACAAUCACAUUUGUUUUGUACGACUCUCAUUAAAAUUGAGACAAUGGAGAGAUGGAGAAGGACGUUGUGGAUUCACCCUGCCUUUACGUUUCCUGCACUCCUUGUUGCAGUGAGGACAGCCAGCUACACAGCACCAAAAGGGAGGGAAGGCACCAUCAGAAAAAAGAAAAAGAAAUGUAUUUGCAUGAAAUAUGCAAGUGCUGAUUUCAAGAUGCGCCUCUGCCCCAUACAUUGCUCCAUCUGGUCUUCACACUCUCUUCUCCUUCCUGCAACCAGCCACAACAUCUGAACUCGCCUCUAUGGUUUGCCCCAUCCCCAUAGUGGAGGAUGGCGGCCUAGGCAGCAGAAGCUGCUGACUCCUACCUCUUCUCUCCUUCUUUCCCUCCUUCCCUUUCCCCACCCCUGCCCCACAGACAUGGAAAGAGAAGCACAGAUGAAAGGGAAGCGGUGCUUACUCUCGCCUCACACUUCACGGCGCAGCGAGCUGGUGACAUGGCAGCAGCACACCCGGGGCGAGAGCAUGCAUGGCAGGGCAGCCAAAGGGGAACAAUUGACUGAGAGCAACUACAGCCACAAACAAGGACUUCCAUUUCCUCGCUGUCUCUGCCUCAGCCUCCUGCUUUUUGCAGUCCCCCUUUAAGUCACAGUUGCUCUCCCCAACCUCCAUUUACAUUACUGCAAGAUUUGAGAGGGGGAAAGGGUUCUGGCACUGUGUACCAUUUAUUGAGUACCACCAGAAGAAAAGCACUGCAGAGGAUUAGAAGGAUGCUGCCACAUGGUGUUCUUCUUGAAGCAAAUGGAACACAGUCGUAUAUUGUAUGGUCUUAUUUUGUAAGCCAUACUGUACUUUCUCCUACAUACCUCCCUGACAGUAUGCCUCUGCCAGUACUCUCUUGGAUUAACUCUUGCCCCAGAAGGCCUUGAUAUGAUGAUCUGGACUAUCCAUGCCUCUCCCCUAGAUUGGUGGGAAACUCUUUAGACAAUGAAAUGAAAAAAAUAUAAUGAUUGCACUGGGUUUUCUCAGGAGGGAGUGAAAUUUGUGAUUCAGUUUUGAAAGGAUGUUAUUUCCUUUUUCUGUCUUCCUGAAGGAAGUAUAAAUUAUCCCAUUCAUUCAAUAUCAGUAUCUCCAGAUGACAGCUCUCCAAUCAGCGAAUGAGGUUUAUUAACUUGAUUGAAUAAUAGCCGUUGAUUUCUAUAGCACAGGAACUCUCUAUUAGGCCAGCUCACGUUGCAUUGCUAUUUGAGAACUCUUAUUCCCUAGGGCAAAAAGCACCCUCACAUCACAAACCAGAGUUACAGCCUUCUAGGUAAAUAGUGUGCUCUGAUUAAUGUAAACAGUGCUUAUCUAGAAAAUAAAUUGUGAUUUAAGAAUGCUACCCAAUCAAAUCUGCAACCAGAAAUUACUUAUUGUACAGAAUGCAACAAUCUAGCACACACAAGCACACAUACACUCAAAUAUAACUUGCCUCUGCUCAGCAAAUUCUAAAAUGGCAUUUUAUAGCAUUGACUUUUCCUAUAAAAACACACUGUAGGCAUCUGAGGAUUGUGACAAUAAAUCACAGGUUGCAAUGAA